GUUAAGCGACUAAGCGUACACGGUGGAUGCCCUGGCAGUCAGAGGCGAUGAAGGACGUGCUAAUCUGCGAUAAGCGUCGGUAAGGUGAUAUGAACCGUUAUAACCGGCGAUUUCCGAAUGGGGAAACCCAGUGUGAUUCGUCACACUAUCAUUAACUGAAUCCAUAGGUUAAUGAGGCGAACCGGGGGAACUGAAACAUCUAAGUACCCCGAGGAAAAGAAAUCAACCGAGAUUCCCCCAGUAGCGGCGAGCGAACGGGGAGCAGCCCAGAGCCUGAAUCAGUGUGUGUGUUAGUGGAAGCGUCUGGAAAGGCGUGCGAUACAGGGUGACAGCCCCGUACACAAAAAUGCACAUACUGUGAGCUCGAUGAGUAGGGCGGGACACGUGGUAUCCUGUCUGAAUAUGGGGGGACCAUCCUCCAAGGCUAAAUACUCCUGACUGACCGAUAGUGAACCAGUACCGUGAGGGAAAGGCGAAAAGAACCCCGGCGAGGGGAGUGAAAAAGAACCUGAAACCGUGUACGUACAAGCAGUGGGAGCACGCUUAGGCGUGUGACUGCGUACCUUUUGUAUAAUGGGUCAGCGACUUAUAUUCUGUAGCAAGGUUAACCGAAUAGGGGAGCCGAAGGGAAACCGAGUCUUAACUGGGCGUUAAGUUGCAGGGUAUAGACCCGAAACCCGGUGAUCUAGCCAUGGGCAGGUUGAAGGUUGGGUAACACUAACUGGAGGACCGAACCGACUAAUGUUGAAAAAUUAGCGGAUGACUUGUGGCUGGGGGUGAAAGGCCAAUCAAACCGGGAGAUAGCUGGUUCUCCCCGAAAGCUAUUUAGGUAGCGCCUCGUGAAUUCAUCUCCGGGGGUAGAGCACUGUUUCGGCAAGGGGGUCAUCCCGACUUACCAACCCGAUGCAAACUGCGAAUACCGGAGAAUGUUAUCACGGGAGACAC
Molecule: ribosomal RNA, 945 nt
Filed under: Escherichia coli
Lineage: Bacteria; Pseudomonadati; Pseudomonadota; Gammaproteobacteria; Enterobacterales; Enterobacteriaceae
Also listed under: 1 other name
Description: partial 23S ribosomal RNA
Rfam family: Bacterial large subunit ribosomal RNA
Source: RNAcentral